ACCUGAGGGGCUCCAAGUACAUUGGG
RNAcentral lists this non-coding RNA (26 nucleotides) under Rattus norvegicus (Norway rat). Lineage: Eukaryota; Metazoa; Chordata; Mammalia; Rodentia; Muridae. The record is from RNAcentral.